This is a long non-coding RNA of Neofelis nebulosa (Clouded leopard), 2135 nucleotides long. RefSeq lists it as uncharacterized. The record is from RefSeq and is a predicted model, not a curated record. The transcript has 5 exons. NCBI's taxonomy places the organism in Eukaryota, Metazoa, Chordata, Mammalia, Carnivora, Felidae.
GGGCUCCUGCGGCCCGGCGGCCGAGCCGGCCUGCCGCAGGGCGGGGGGCGGAGGCCGGUGCUGCCCUUUGGCGGGGAGCGCCACCGGCCCGUGGAAAGGGCACAACCCCCACGCCGCGCUUAGGGGCUUCCCCCCGCGAAAGGUCCCGGAGGACAGGACUGCUUUGUUCCCCUGGUGGGCUGUGCAGAGCGCGGCGUGAGUCGCUGUUCAGGCCGACCCGGCCGGGCCUUCCCGCGCUUCCCACGCCCCGCCCACCUCCCCUCUCCUUGCCCUGGAUAAGAAUUCCCUGCAGGGAACUGGCCCCACGUAGUGUGGCCCCCGGGAGCACGGCUAAUCCCUCAUCUUCGUUCGCUUUUCAGGGACAAGGAACGCGGAAGUUCUUUCGGUUUAGCAUGUAAGGCAAGAGCGCAGAAUCAACCUCGGGUCCCUCAAUUGACAAUCUGGCAUCCGGCAACUCCCUGUCCCGAACCGCCCUUGCUCCUCGCUUGACCUCACUCUGGUGUCCCCUCCCUCUCACGCCAUUUCCUCUCCCUCCAUUAACUGCUCUACAUUGCGAAGGGAGAGCAAAGGGGCUCUUUGAUUUGACCUUGAAUUUACCUUGCCAGGAUCCUUUUGAGUCCCGCGCGUUUCAGGAGCUUUUCAAACUUUGAAUGAAGACCCACCGUGAGAAAUAGUUUACGACUCCAGACUUGGAAAUAACAACGGGGCACGUGUGGUCCGGAGAGCGUGAAGUGACGCGUCUGAGACUCGCCCGCCUUCUGUGGCAGAACCGGAACUAGAAUUUCCGUCUCCUGACAUCAAGCCCACUGCCCUUUUGUGGCCGUCUGAGGGAAGGGCAGCCAGGAAAAUAAAUAAAAACGAAGAAGGUAGGAUGCUGGUCCACCUCGAGCUCCCCGUGACCCAUUCCAGACCUGAAGGUAAAGCAGUGGGAGAAACACUGGAUUGGACAGCUAAGGAGCUCCUUGGUCUGAUCUUGGCCUUGCCAUUCAACACUUGAUCUUCCUGACCUGGAAUAACUAAUUUUCUCCCCUGGCUUCCUCUUGCUCAUCGGUCAAACAGGGAAAAUGUCAUUGACCUGGAUGGCAUGAUGUGUGACACCACUCUACAAGCGAAUGAUUUAAGUAGCUUGAGUUUUCUCAAGUUCAUCGUGAUGAUUUCGGGCCGGUAGGGCAAGAAAUCAACGUCAACUCCCAUUUGGAGAGACUCUUGGGGUUUCAAUUAUUCCCCCUCUGGUGUUACCUGUUAAUUUACACAGAAUUUAUUCUACUUGGAAAGCUAUCUCCUUAAUCUCUUCUUGCUAUUCGAACGAUGACUGGGAUAGGGACCGACAUGGACAUGGAAAGGAUAACAUGGAAAGUUACCGAAGGAAAGGAUUACAGUAAAUAGGUGAUGCUGGCCAAUGGACCAUGAAUACGCUGGAAUGUCUAUUUUUCUAGAACUUGGCAAAACUGUGUUUGACUGCAGGCUUUGCCGCCAGAUACAAAAAGGCAUACAGCUGUCACAAGGAGGGCACUGCACACAAAGUCUCAGCUGUAAACACCACUUCAAAAUAUAAACUCGCUCUUUGGAAUGCAUUGUGUCAAAGGCUUCCCAUAUGAAUACCGUUGUUAUAAAACGGCGACAUUUCCUUUGAUAAGCAGACAAAACGCACCCGGUUAUCUUACACACAUUUCCAUCUCCUUGUAGCAAUUCCCGUCUCUACCUGCGCUACUCUCAUCCACCCAGGCACAGGCCACUUCUAUUCCUUCACAAGGGCGGAGGAGACUGGGCUUGGGCCGUGUGACUUGCAUGGCCAUCAGCAAACGUGGUGCGGAGACUUGAUAGGUGAUGUACAAAAGUGAGCCCUUCCUCCUUGGAACCCAGCUGCCAUGCUUUAAGAAAGCCAGUCUAACCGGCUAGCAGAUGAGAAACUCCGCACUCUCGCUGACCAACGCCAACUUCCGGAAGUGUGAAUGAAACCGUCUUGGAUGUUUCUAUUUCGGUCCCAGGAGAGCUCCCAUCUGUUUGCAGCCGCUGAAUGAGCGACCCAGGUGAAUGAAUGACCUUGGUCAAUAUCGCCCGGAGGAGGGAAACCACCCAGCCGAGCGCAGAUAGUACACAGAAUCGUGGCACAUAAUAAAUGGUUAUUGUUUGGA